This is a long non-coding RNA of Equus caballus (horse), 1884 nucleotides long. NCBI's taxonomy places the organism in Eukaryota, Metazoa, Chordata, Mammalia, Perissodactyla, Equidae. The record is from Ensembl.
GAACUCAAUUUUUAAUAGAUGAUAGAUAUUUAUAGAUAAAUAAAUAUAUUUCAUAUCUCUAACCACUCUGAGGGCCUAGAAAUAGUGAUAACUCAUAGCAACAAGCACAGCCAGAACAAGAGCUUGGUUGCUAAAUACCAUUCUUCAAUAAAAUUCUCCAAUAAAAGGAAGCAGGGAUCCUUGGAGAAAUGGCUGAUUCUAAAACUGGGGGGAAGAACAGCACAAAAUAAGCUUGGAGCACCUCAUAGUGCCAGAAAGCAAGGAAGUGCUCAAAAAAGAAAAAAAAAAGGAAAAUACAGGGAUAUGUCAAAAGGGUAGAGAAAAGAAUCUAAAAGCUCUCCCAAUGGCCAAACCUGGAAAAAUUUGAACACAAUACGAAGAAUAUAGUAGUGAAUUACAACCCAAAGAAUAAAAAAAAAUCUGAGUUUACACCAAUAUAAAUAAUUUUAUAAAUAAAUGGAGAAGGAACAAAUCUUUCUUACAGAAUAAUUCCAAAUAUGUGUAACUAUUCCCUCCUUCAAAACUAAGACUAAAUUUAUCUUCCCUUGAGAAUUGGCUUGACUUACUGACUAACUUCCAAAGAAUCAAUUAAGGAAAGGAAAAACAGAAUGACUUUACAAUGGAGAAACCUGGCUGGUGUCACCUUACGCAAGUGGUCAUAAUUAACAUCAUCAGUAAUACAUCAUAUUGAUAUCAUGUGACACCUCAUAUGAUGUGAUUACAUGGGCACAUUUCCUGUGAUAUUCUUAAAAAAAAAUAAAAACGAACGCAAACAAACCUCACAUAUUCUUUAUAAUAAGAAAACAUUAGAAAAUUCCAAAUUAAGGGAAAUUCUGCAAAAAGCCUGACCAACACUCUUCAAAAGUGUCAAGGUGCUGUGCAUUGCUUUGAUGUGAUUCCAAAUCUACUUGUUUAUAACUUAAGUAAAGUUUUUUUUAAUCCACUUGUUUAUGACAAAGACAAAAAAAGUUGUGUUGAUAGUGAUGCGGGGUCGGUGAGCCGAGGAGUCGAAAGAAAGAUUUCUUAGACUCUCAAGAUCUGGCAGUAGUGCUCUUUUAUUUAGAGAAUAGAGAUAGAGUAGCAUGGGGACAGGACCCAUGGGCAGUCAGAGCUUCUGCUGCUGCUGCUGCUGCUGCUGCUGCUGCUGCUGCUGCUGCCCCGAACUGAGGGUUAGGGCCAAAUUUAAGGCAUAGGUAUGUGAGUUAUCUCUUUACAAGACAAAGAAUAUGUAAAAAAGUUAAAAUGGUAGAUAAGAAUCAAACCGGAUUGAGUAAAUGGCAGAAGUCACCGCUUGAAUUUUAUCCUCGGCUAAAGACAAAGGAGGAUUUGUGGGGGGGAGGGUCAGUUACAUGAGGUUGCCAGACAGUAACCAACUUAAGUUCUUGCCUCUGGCAUUGACCAAGAGCCUCUAGAGAUAAGACCAUCCCCCCCCUUCCUGGCACAGAGAGGGUGGCAUCUUCACAGAUAGAGGUUUCCCUUAGAAAUGUAAAUGUUUCCCAACAAAGGGGCAAACAAAUUCCACUCCUUGGAGCCUGAAUCUCAUCUGUAGUUUUAAAACUAACCAGCCUAAAAAUCCUCAUCAUAAGCCAUUUUAAAAUUAAGCAGCCUAAAACUCCUCAUCAGUGUGAUUAAUCUAUUAUUGGUUUAAAGUAUGUGAUGUGAUGUGACGAUGUCAGGUUAUAUUAUGUUAGGUUAUAUUCAGCUAUGUUUUAUUCCCUUUUUUGUCUUUUUAAAGAUUGGUACCUGAACUAACAUCUGUUGCCAAUUUUGUUUUUUUUCUUCUCCCCAAAGCCCUCCAGUACAUAGUUGUAUAUUCUAGCUGUAGGUCCUUCUCCUUGUGCUAUGUGGGACACUGCCUCAGCGUGGCCUGAUGAGCUGUGCCUG